AUACGGAGGGUGCAAGCGUUAAUCGGAAUUACUGGGCGUAAAGCGCGCGUAGGCGGCUUUGUAAGUCAGGGGUGAAAGCCUGGAGCUCAACUCCAGAACUGCCUUUGAGACUGCAUCGCUUGAAUCCGGGAGAGGUGAGUGGAAUUCCGAGUGUAGAGGUGAAAUUCGUAGAUAUUCGGAAGAACACCAGUGGCGAAGGCGGCUCACUGGACCGGUAUUGACGCUGAGGUGCGAAAGCGUGGGGAGCAAACAGGAUUAGAAACCCUAGUAGUCC
Molecule: ribosomal RNA, 274 nt
Filed under: uncultured bacterium
Lineage: Bacteria
Description: partial 16S ribosomal RNA
Rfam family: Bacterial small subunit ribosomal RNA
Source: RNAcentral